Molecule: ribosomal RNA, 492 nt
Filed under: uncultured bacterium
Lineage: Bacteria
Description: partial 16S ribosomal RNA
Rfam family: Bacterial small subunit ribosomal RNA
Source: RNAcentral
AGUGAACGCUGGCGGUAGGCCUAACACAUGCAAGUCGAACGGCAGCACAGUAAGAGCUUGCUCUUACGGGUGGCGAGUGGCGGACGGGUGAGGAAUACAUCGGAAUCUACUUUUUCGUGGGGGAUAACGUAGGGAAACUUACGCUAAUACCGCAUACGACCUACGGGUGAAAGCAGGGGAUCUUCGGACCUUGCGCGAUUGAAUGAGCCGAUGUCGGAUUAGCUAGUUGGCGGGGUAAAGGCCCACCAAGGCGACGAUCCGUAGCUGGUCUGAGAGGAUGAACAGCAACACUGGAACUGAGGAACGGUACAGACUCCUACGGGAGGCAGCAGUGGGGAAUAUUGGACAAUGGGCGCAAGCCUGAUCCAGCCAUACCGCGUGGGUGAAGAAGGCCUUCGGGUUGUAAAGCCCUUUUGUUGGGAAAGAAAAGCAGCAGGUUAAUACCACGCUGUUCUGACGGUACCCAAAGAAUAAGCACCGGCUAACUUCGUG